UACGGAGGGUGCGAGCGUUGUCCGGAAUCAUUGGGCGUAAAGGGCGCGUAGGCGGUUUGGUAAGUUGGGUGUGAAAGCCCCGGGCUUAACCUGGGAAUGGCACUCGAUACUGCCGGGCUAGAGUAUGGUAGAGGGAGGCGGAAUUUCCGGUGUAGCGGUGAAAUGCGUAGAUAUCGGAAGGAACACCGGUGGCGAAGGCGGCCUCCUGGACCACUACUGACGCUGAGGUGCGAAAGCGUGGGGAGCGAACAGG
RNAcentral lists this ribosomal RNA (253 nucleotides) under uncultured prokaryote. RNAcentral's name for it is "partial 16S ribosomal RNA". It matches the Rfam family "Bacterial small subunit ribosomal RNA", at positions 524 to 776 of the family's 1533-position model. The record is from RNAcentral.